AGAGUUUGAUCCUGGCUCAGGACGAACGCUGGCGGCGUGCUUAAUACAUGCAAGUCGAGCGAGGUUACUGUUUCGGAUCCCUUCGGGGUGAAGAAGCUUUAACCUAGCGGCGGACGGGUGAGUAACGCGUGGGUAAUCUACCCCAAAGUCCGGGAUAACAGCGGGAAACCGCUGCUAAUACCGGAUGUCUUUACCUUGGGGCAUCUUGAGGUAAAGAAAGGUAACGCUUUGGGAUGGGCCCGCGUCCCAUUAGCUAGUUGGUGAGGUAACGGCUCACCAAGGCGACGAUGGGUAGCCGGCCUGAGAGGGUGGACGGCCACACUGGGACUGAGACACGGCCCAGACUCCUACGGGAGGCAGCAGUAGGGAAUAUUGCGCAAUGGACGGAAGUCUGACGCAGCGACGCCGCGUGAGCGAUGAAGGUCUUCGGAUCGUAAAGCUCUGUCCUUGGGGAAGAAGGCGAAAGCUUGACGGUACCCAAGAAGAAAGCCCCGGCUAACUACGUGCCAGCAGCCGCGGUAAU
This 523-nucleotide ribosomal RNA is filed under the name uncultured bacterium. RNAcentral describes it as "bacterial SSU rRNA". It matches the Rfam family "Bacterial small subunit ribosomal RNA", at positions 8 to 524 of the family's 1533-position model. The record is from RNAcentral.